AUCGCUUCUUGGCUUUUUGGCUAAGAUCAAGUGUAGUAUAAAAGCAAAAUAAAAUAAAAUAAUAUAUGCUGGCAAUACCCACA
Heterocephalus glaber (naked mole-rat) is the source of this 83-nucleotide small nuclear RNA. Its record names the gene U2. It matches the Rfam family "U2 spliceosomal RNA". From Rfam's summary of the family: U2 is a small nuclear RNA (snRNA) component of the spliceosome (involved in pre-mRNA splicing). The record is from Ensembl. NCBI's taxonomy places the organism in Eukaryota, Metazoa, Chordata, Mammalia, Rodentia, Bathyergidae.